RNAcentral lists this signal recognition particle RNA (311 nucleotides) under Saimiri boliviensis boliviensis (Bolivian squirrel monkey). Its description in RNAcentral is "Metazoan signal recognition particle RNA (ENSSBOG00000005149.1)". It matches the Rfam family "Metazoan signal recognition particle RNA". From Rfam's summary of the family: The signal recognition particle (SRP) is a universally conserved ribonucleoprotein. The record is from RNAcentral. Lineage: Eukaryota; Metazoa; Chordata; Mammalia; Primates; Cebidae.
GCUGGGCGUGGUAGCACAUGCCUGUAGUCCCAGCUACUCGGGAGGCUGAGGUGGGAGGAUGGCUUGAGCCCAGGAGUUCUGGGCUGUAGUGCGCUAUGCCUAUCGGGUGUCUGUGCUAAGUUCACCAUCAAUAUGGCGACCUCCCGGGAGCGGGGGUGCAGGGCAGAGCAGGGACCACCAGGUUGCGUAAGGAGGGGUGAAUGGCCCAGGUCAGAAACAGCAGGUCAAAACUCCUGCUGAUCAGUAGUGGGAUCGUGUCUGUGAAUAGCCACUGCAUUCCAGCCUGGGCAACAUAGCAAGACCCCAUCUCU